GAAUCGCGAGAUUCUGCUGUGUACAGCGCGUGGUCGCAACGUGAUUUGAAGUGCUGCUCAUGCGGUGGAGUGCUGAGGCCAUUAGACGCCUGUUAAAAUAACAACAAACGCACAUAUAGUGACUUGGAAGUCUGUCUUAGUGUGUUGUGAGGAUUGUGUGUUGUGCUGUGGGAACUUUGAAAUUCUGUCGACUCGAGAAGAUGCAUACCUAUGUGGAGAAAUCCGAUCGACAAUAAAUCUCGAAGCGUGAGUGAUUAAUCAUAACUAAUGUCAGUUUAUCAUUGAGAAUAUUUUGUUGUGUAUGAUGUAAUCUGAACAUUAAGUGAUUGGUGAUCAUUUUGGUUGAUUAAAGAGGGGAGAGGAGUAUUCUAAAGGCCUCCUGAGUGUUUGUUUCCAGGCCGAGUGUGAAGCAACAGAGUGAGUGUUGUUAACUAAUUAACGUUAAUCCUAAAAAAAUGUUUGCUGCUUAUACGUGUGUUUAUGGCAAUCCGUUGAUUGUUAAAUAAUAGCUAAUUAAUUAAAACAUUAGAAGCAAAUAACAGACUGUAAUGGGACAUGGUUGGGGAACUACAAGUCCCAUCAGCCCCAGCGCUAUAUAAGGAAGUAGUGAGGUUUGUUUGUCCUCUCACUUCCUUUCCGUGAUCGUGUGUUGUGGAUGUCGUGUGUGUUGUGGAGGCGGCACACUUAAAGCUUCAAAGAUUGAGCCCUUCAGAAGGAUAGUAGCAGAUAAGCAGCUAUGUUAACGUCAUGGAGAGCUGAGUACUUGUUGCACACCAUUUAGGAGUGUUUUUGCCGGAUUAUUGCCUGACUGAUUGUUGCCUGAGUGCCAGUCAGAAAUAUCGGAUGUUUGAGGGAUGAACGGUUACUGUUUACUUUGAUUGAAUUUUCUUUGGUUUAUUUAUUAUUUUGUCUUAUGUUGGACCAAGUGGGAAAAACCCCAGACCAUAAACUAAGUGUGAUGGUUCAAUGGUGCUGCUGACUUGUUUGUCCUACUGGCAUUACCCACGGUUAAUCUGUUUUUCUUUCCUUUUUGUAGAUUUCUUUUUUUCCCAACGAUGGCUGCGUGGUUACCCUCACUGUAUGGAUGGCGGUGGUGAGGUGGCUGGGAUCGUGUGGUGUUGGUCACUUUAUUUGUAUUUUUGCCUUUAGGGAUGCAGUGUGAUUGCUGUGAGUUUUGCUGUGGUGAGAGCACUUUUCAGGACUACUGCCUUCACGAUAUAGGUAACCUGUGGCCAUCCGUGGGUUGUUGUUUUUGUUUCUUAUUUUUUUGAACCACCGUUUGUACCACAAUACGCCGUAAUUUGCGGCGUCUUUUCGUGUUAAACGCCGUAAACACCGGCGUUUUGAGAAUGAAACGCGUUUGGAAAGUGGCGAAAUGUGAACCAAAUGGCUUUCCAUAGAUUGACUCGUCAAACGCGUGCGUUUCGACAGCCAAGGGACGCGCGAUUUGCCAUAAAAUAUAACAUCUUGACGACAUUUAUAAAAUAUAACAACUUGACCAUAUUUA
This is a non-coding RNA of Pimephales promelas (fathead minnow), 1507 nucleotides long. Lineage: Eukaryota; Metazoa; Chordata; Actinopteri; Cypriniformes; Leuciscidae. The record is from RefSeq and is a predicted model, not a curated record.